This 775-nucleotide long non-coding RNA is filed under the name Phoenix dactylifera (date palm). RNAcentral describes it as "long non-coding RNA (PDAC_LNC000271)". The record is from RNAcentral. Lineage: Eukaryota; Viridiplantae; Streptophyta; Magnoliopsida; Arecales; Arecaceae.
AAAAAAAAAAAAAAUUACAAAUUUUAAUAAGGGAAUGGGUAGUUAAGUCUCAUUCGGUAAGAUUCUGCAUACUUGGAAAGAGAAAAAAAAAAAGAUUUUAUUGGUCGUAUCAUCGGUCAGUCACGAAAAUUGCUUGACACAAAUAUUUUGAUAGGUGACAAUGAGCAACAAAAAGAAAGAAGUUAGGACUAAUACAAAAUCAUUCGAGGGGCAUGAUUAUGACAGGGAUGGUAUCAGAAUUCAAGAUUCAAGACUACAAAAAAUUUUUGAUGUUUUCAAACAGAAUGGUAGCGAGCCAUGCCAAAAUAAGAAUAAGCUAGUUUGGAGAUUUCUCGAUGGAGUAAUUUGUAUUUUGGAUUAUGAUUAAAGUAUAUUUUGACUGAUAUUAAGUGGAGUACUAGCUAUGGAAUAUUAAGGUACAUGGUGAUUAUUGGUGUAUCAGUAUAUAGGUGAUUUUGGAAGUUUAACUUGAUACCGGAUACUGUGGAUAAUACUUCUAGUUUGAAGUUAAUUAUUUUGAUGGCAAGAUAGGGUUCAUUCAUAAGUUGUUUAAGGCUUGGACAAGGAAAGCUUUUAUAUUCUUCGAGGUUAAAAUCGGUAUGACAAUUAUGCAUGAAACUAUUGUAUAGAAAGAAAAUAUAUCUGAGAAUGACAUUUAAGAGUUUCUCCUUUGUUUACUUGGAAUGUGACAUAUUAGAUCUUUUCAAAUUACAAUGCAAGAUUGGUAUUUUGAUUGAAAGUCAUUUAGUAAAUUCUGGGAUAAUUUCCAAUCUUG